UGGGGAAUUUUGGACAAUGGGCGAAAGCCUGAUCCAGCAAUGCCGCGUGUGUGAAGAAGGCCUUCGGGUUGUAAAGCACUUUUGUCCGGAAAGAAAUCCUUGGCUCUAAUACAGUCGGGGGAUGACGGUACCGGAAGAAUAAGCACCGGCUAACUACGUGCCAGCAGCCGCGGUAAUACGUAGGGUGCAAGCGUUAAUCGGAAUUACUGGGCGUAAAGCGUGCGCAGGCGGUUUGCUAAGACCGAUGUGAAAUCCCCGGGCUCAACCUGGGAACUGCAUUGGUGACUGGCAGGCUAGAGUAUGGCAGAGGGGGGUAGAAUUCCACGUGUAGCAGUGAAAUGCGUAGAGAUGUGGAGGAAUACCGAUGGCGAAGGCAGCCCCCUGGGCCAAUACUGACGCUCAUGCACGAAAGCGUGGGGAGCAAACAGGAUUAGAUACCCUGGUAGUCCACGCCCUAAACGAUGUCAACUAGUUGUGGGGAUUCAUUUCCUUAGUAACGUAGCUAACGCGUGAAGUUGACCGCCUGGGGGAGUAACGGUCGCAAGAUUAAAACUCAAAGGAAUUGACGGGGUCAUAGCUGUUUCCU
This 586-nucleotide ribosomal RNA is filed under the name uncultured bacterium. RNAcentral describes it as "partial 16S ribosomal RNA". It matches the Rfam family "Bacterial small subunit ribosomal RNA", at positions 355 to 1375 of the family's 1533-position model. The record is from RNAcentral.